This is a long non-coding RNA of Xiphophorus couchianus (Monterrey platyfish), 1791 nucleotides long. RefSeq lists it as uncharacterized. The record is from RefSeq and is a predicted model, not a curated record. The transcript has 8 exons. Lineage: Eukaryota; Metazoa; Chordata; Actinopteri; Cyprinodontiformes; Poeciliidae.
UGCAACCAGACGACAAAUGGAUCACCUAUACGGAUGUACGAGUCCUCAUUACGUGUGGUGAGUAACUGGUGCAACACAUGCACAGCUGUUCUACACAGUCGUGCUGUCAUGUUAUAGAUAAAUCAGCUCAAUAUUUUCUUCUUUUCAAGUAUGUUUAUCUAUUGGGACAUGACAUUACAGAUGCAAAAGUUUGUUUAGGAGGCUACAUUAAACCAAGUAAACAAUAUAUAUAAUUAUAAUAAAGCGCUGGUACCUCAGAGGUCCAGCUGAGAUGUUUUGUGUAUGUAAAAUCAGAGAAGACAAAUGUGAGGAGGCAAAUAGUGAUUGGCCAGAAUGAGAUGAUGUAUGAUAGUAGCGCUUCACACAGGUGUGAUUGUUCUGUUUUUUGGGAGUUGGGAAGGAGCUGUUAGGGUAGUUCUGCACUGGACUGCAGACAUGCAAAUUGGCAUUUACCCUCUGCUCUUUACAGAGACCCUUGAUGAGGCGAAAAAACGAGAGACAAAAUAUAACACCACAAUGUGUCCAACAUCUGAAAUUGAAUCUCAUGAUGAAGGAGCUAUCCGCCAAAAAAGAAUAUCCAGGCCAAAUCAGCAGUUUAUGCAUUCUGAUUCUGAAGACCAUCAGAGUAGCAGUGCAAAAAGAAAGCGUUUUGCCAAACCACCUGAUGUUGGAUGUCCAGUAGAUCUUGUUGCUAGCAACUACCAACAAUCACUAGCUGAUGAAGUUCUUAAUGCUGAGAUGCCAGGUUUUGCUACAGCCCACUGUGUCCAGUACCACAAGUUGCAGAAUCCACAGCGACAAAGUGCAAGUAUUGGUAUGAUACUGUACUCUUUCAGUAAUAGUGAUGGGUAUCUUAGUGAUUCUGGCUAAUUAGUUAGUUUGAUCAAACAUUUAGAUUAUGUAUCUUGUGUUUACACUUGUAAACUAUUGCGAAAUGUAACUAUAUCUACAGGGUUGUCUGGAUGCAGCUCAAGGCAGUAUAACCAUCGCCCUGGUCUCUCACAAUGUGCACAAAAUAGGCUGCCAUUGGAUAUAUCACAGACAAACUCCGACCUGAAUGAUGUAUUGGAUUCAGCGCCUAAUCAAGGUUUCGAAGAUGCAACCACACAAAGGGCCAACAAUAAUGGGCAGCUUUUGAGAGGCAAGUCUAUUGGACAUAAUGUAUUUGUAAUGUGUCAUUUUCAGGUUAUUUUGAUGUUGCACUUAAAGAUUCUUAAUGUUCUCCUGAAGACCUCGCUAUCCAUAAGAUGACAUCGAUGCUUGCUGAAGCUCUUGUGAUUGUGAAGGAUCUAUCCAGAGAUGUCCAAUUCAUUAAGAACAAUUUGGCUCAGAGUAACAUUACACCAGGUAGCACACAAGGACCAGCAAACCUUGUACUCCCCUUCCAGCUGCCAAUUGAAAGUGAAGAAGAUUUCAGUAAAGCAGAGUCAUUACUGAUUGAAGAGACAGUGCGUCAAAAGAUGAUUGCUCGACUGGCUCUAGUAGGAGGCACCAAUUCAGCCAACAUGAUAAGAAGAAUGUUGAUAACUUGUAUGAGAAAUGCCCUGGCAAGUCAGUUCAACUGGGCUGGGAAGAAACAUAGGCAUUCCCAGAGUAAAAAGCCAUUCAAGGACACAAUCCUGCAAGAGUGCAUAUUAGUUGCUGCUCGUCAAUUCGAACCAGGCCUAACUGAUCAAAAUUACAGCGAAACAGUAAAGAAAUGGUUUCACUAUGCACCAGACCGGGAGGGAGGCAUUGAAAGGCAACCAAAGGGACGGCCAGAAGACUGAAAUUAAAUAAAAUAUUUAAGCA